UGCAGUCGAGCGGUAGCACAGAGAGCUUGCUCUCGGGUGACGAGCGGCGGACGGGUGAGUAAUGUCUGGGAAACUGCCUGAUGGAGGGGGAUAACUACUGGAAACGGUAGCUAAUACCGCAUAACGUCGCAAGACCAAAGUGGGGGACCUUCGGGCCUCAUGCCAUCAGAUGUGCCCAGAUGGGAUUAGCUAGUAGGUGGGGUAAUGGCUCACCUAGGCGACGAUCCCUAGCUGGUCUGAGAGGAUGACCAGCCACACUGGAACUGAGACACGGUCCAGACUCCUACGGGAGGCAGCAGUGGGGAAUAUUGCACAAUGGGCGCAAGCCUGAUGCAGCCAUGCCGCGUGUAUGAAGAAGGCCUUCGGGUUGUAAAGUACUUUCAGCGAGGAGGAAGGCAUUAAGGUUAAUAACCUUAGUGAUUGACGUUACUCGCAGAAGAAGCACCGGCUAACUCCGUGCCAGCAGCCGCGGUAAUACGGAGGGUGCAAGCGUUAAUCGGAAUUACUGGGCGUAAAGCGCACGCAGGCGGUCUGUUAAGUCAGAUGUGAAAUCCCCGGGCUCAACCUGGGAACUGCAUUUGAAACUGGCAGGCUUGAGUCU
Molecule: ribosomal RNA, 601 nt
Filed under: gamma proteobacterium PQS-1
Lineage: Bacteria; Pseudomonadati; Pseudomonadota; Gammaproteobacteria
Description: bacterial SSU rRNA
Rfam family: Bacterial small subunit ribosomal RNA
Source: RNAcentral